RNAcentral lists this non-coding RNA (30 nucleotides) under Mus musculus (house mouse). The record is from RNAcentral. Lineage: Eukaryota; Metazoa; Chordata; Mammalia; Rodentia; Muridae.
GCCAUGUUCUAAUGCCAGUUUUGGAGGGAG